UACGGAGGGGGCGAGCGUUAUUCGGAAUUACUGGGCGUAAAGCGCGUGCAGGCGGGAGAGUGUGUCUGGUGUGAAAGCCCGGGGCUUAACCCCGGAAGAGCAUUGGAAACUGUUCUUCUUGAGUUUCGGAGAGGAAGGUGGAAUUCCCGGUGUAGAGGUGAAAUUCGUAGAGAUCGGGAGGAACACCAGUGGCGAAGGCGCCCUUCUGGACGACAACUGACGAUGAGACGCGAAGGCCUGGGGAGCAAACAGG
Molecule: ribosomal RNA, 253 nt
Filed under: uncultured bacterium
Lineage: Bacteria
Description: partial 16S ribosomal RNA
Rfam family: Bacterial small subunit ribosomal RNA
Source: RNAcentral